GGAGGCAGGGUGUAUAGCUCAGUGGUCAGAGCAUCUCCUUUGAAGAUCCCAGGUUCAAUCCCUGGCAUCUCCA
Podarcis lilfordi (Lilford's wall lizard) is the source of this 73-nucleotide non-coding RNA. The record is from the annotation of a GenBank genome assembly. NCBI's taxonomy places the organism in Eukaryota, Metazoa, Chordata, Lepidosauria, Squamata, Lacertidae.